Molecule: ribosomal RNA, 465 nt
Filed under: uncultured Klebsiella sp.
Lineage: Bacteria; Pseudomonadati; Pseudomonadota; Gammaproteobacteria; Enterobacterales; Enterobacteriaceae
Description: bacterial SSU rRNA
Rfam family: Bacterial small subunit ribosomal RNA
Source: RNAcentral
CCUACGGGUGGCAGCAGUGGGGAAUAUUGCACAAUGGGCGCAAGCCUGAUGCAGCCAUGCCGCGUGUGUGAAGAAGGCCUUCGGGUUGUAAAGCACUUUCAGCGGGGAGGAAGGCGGUGAGGUUAAUAACCUCAUCGAUUGACGUUACCCGCAGAAGAAGCACCGGCUAGCUCCGUGCCAGCAGCCGCGGUAAUACGGAGGGUGCAAGCGUUAAUCGGAAUUACUGGGCGUAAAGCGCACGCAGGCGGUCUGUCAAGUCGGAUGUGAAAUCCCCGGGCUCAACCUGGGAACUGCAUUCGAAACUGGCAGGCUAGAGUCUUGUAGAGGGGGGUAGAAUUCCAGGUGUAACGGUGAAAUGCGUAGAGAUCUGGAGGAAUACCGGUGGCGAAGGCGGCCCCCUGGACAAAGACUGACGCUCAGGUGCGAAAGCGUGGGGAGCAAACAGGAUUAGAUACCCCGGUAGUC